Molecule: ribosomal RNA, 253 nt
Filed under: uncultured bacterium
Lineage: Bacteria
Description: partial 16S ribosomal RNA
Rfam family: Bacterial small subunit ribosomal RNA
Source: RNAcentral
UACAGAGGUCUCAAGCGUUGUUCGGAUUCAUUGGGCGUAAAGGGGGCGUAGGCGGCGCGGUAAGUCGGGUGUGAAAUCUCGGAGCUUAACUCCGAAACUGCAUUCGAUACUGGCGUGCUUGAGGACUGGAGAGGAGACUGGAAUUCAUGGUGUAGCAGUGAAAUGCGUAGAGAUCAUGAGGAAGACCAGUGGCGAAGGCGGGUCUCUGGACAGUUCCUGACACUGAGACACGAAGGCCAGGGGAGCAAACGGG